GUCUCCUACCAAAGAAGAUUAAUUCCAGGAAAAUUUUCAGAAUUAUGCAAAUUACCAAGGUUCUAGAAACAUGAUAAUCAAUAGCAGUGGGAGAACAAAUCAUUGCUUCUCACCAUGCUGAACCCCCACCAUUGAUAUUGAAGGGCACAUCUUUGAUCUAGAACUGGAAUUACCCCAAACUACACUUCUUUUUUUACAAAUACCCUUUUACUCAAUUGUCAUGUUUUGCUUCUCAGGUGGACA
This 243-nucleotide unclassified non-coding RNA is filed under the name Hevea brasiliensis (rubber tree). The record is from RNAcentral. Lineage: Eukaryota; Viridiplantae; Streptophyta; Magnoliopsida; Malpighiales; Euphorbiaceae.